CGUUGAAAAACUGGCUCUCCUACAGUCUCCGAAGUUAAGCAACGUUGAACUUGAUCAGUACCUAGAUGGGUGACCGCUUGGGAAUACCAUUUGCUGCAAG
Non-coding RNA from Acanthosepion pharaonis, 100 nucleotides. NCBI's taxonomy places the organism in Eukaryota, Metazoa, Mollusca, Cephalopoda, Sepiida, Sepiidae. The record is from the annotation of a GenBank genome assembly.